Molecule: long non-coding RNA, 480 nt
Filed under: Elaeis guineensis (African oil palm)
Lineage: Eukaryota; Viridiplantae; Streptophyta; Magnoliopsida; Arecales; Arecaceae
Description: long non-coding RNA (EGUI_LNC066231)
Source: RNAcentral
CUGAUUUCUUGCCGGCGUCUGUCAUCUCCCCGAGAGUCUGCUCUAGCGAACGCCCUCUCGAGCCGUAGGCGCCUUCCGUUCCUCGCUCCCCAGGCCCCCAGAGCAGGAUAGGUUAGUGCCCACCUUCUCCUUCUUACCGCUUAGGGUCCUCUCCUCCUUCCUCUUCUUUCGUGUCCUCUCCUGAGUUGAACUUCUGGCGUCCCCCUCCUUUCUCGGCUUGCAUUUCUAGGGCCCUUUAGGUUCUCCCCGAAAGAAAAAUGUCUUCCGAUUCUUCUUCCCCCGUAAGCUCUGGGAGCUCUUCUGCUUCAAACCCCCAGGCCCCUGUCUCUGCGGACGAACCCGCGUUUGGGGCAGGGUCUCGCCCGGUCUUCGCACCGGGCGCUAUUCCUUGUUUGUCGACUCCGGACGAACUUCUCCUGAUAAGGGCUUGAUACGGGGUCCCUUCAGAGUACGAUCUGGAGCUUCCUGGCCCCUCCGGCC